Molecule: ribosomal RNA, 443 nt
Filed under: uncultured bacterium
Lineage: Bacteria
Description: bacterial SSU rRNA
Rfam family: Bacterial small subunit ribosomal RNA
Source: RNAcentral
UCGGGAAUUUUGGGCAAUGGGCGAAAGCCUGACCCAGCAACGCCGCGUGAAGGAUGAAGUAUUUCGGUAUGUAAACUUCGAAAGAAUAGGAAGAAUAAAUGACGGUACUAUUUAUAAGGUCCGGCUAACUACGUGCCAGCAGCCGCGGUAAUACGUAGGGACCAAGCGUUGUUCGGAUUUACUGGGCGUAAAGGGCGCGUAGGCGGCAAUUCAAGUCAUCUGUGAAAUCUCCGGGCUUAACUCGGAACGGUCAGAUGAUACUGCUUUGCUAGAGUGCAGAAGGGGCAAUCGGAAUUCUUGGUGUAGCGGUGAAAUGCGUAGAUAUCAAGAGGAACACCUGAGGUGAAGACGGGUUGCUGGGCUGACACUGACGCUGAGGCGCGAAAGCCAGGGGAGCAAACGGGAUUAGAUACCCACGUAGUCCCUGAGCGGGCUGGCAAGGC